RNAcentral lists this ribosomal RNA (468 nucleotides) under uncultured bacterium. RNAcentral's name for it is "partial 16S ribosomal RNA". It matches the Rfam family "Bacterial small subunit ribosomal RNA", at positions 28 to 507 of the family's 1533-position model. The record is from RNAcentral.
GACGAACGCUGGCGGCGUGCUUAACACAUGCAAGUCGAACGGAAAGGCCCUGCUUUUGUGGGGUGCUCGAGUGGCGAACGGGUGAGUAACACGCGAGUAACCUGCCCUUGACUUUGGGAUAACUUCAGGAAACUGGGGCUAAUACCGGAUAGGAGCUCCUGCUGCAUGGUGGGGGUUGGAAAGUUUCGGCGGUUGGGGAUGGACUCGCGGCUUAUCAGCUUGUUGGUGGGGUAGUGGCUUACCAAGGCUUUGACGGGUAGCCGGCCUGAGAGGGUUACCGGCCUCAUUAGGACUAAGAUACGGCCCAGACUCCUACGGGAGGCAGUGGUGGGGAAUAUUGCACAAUGGGCGGGAGCCUGAUGCAGCAGCGCCGCGUGCGGGAUGACCGCCUUCGGGUUGUAAACCGCUUUCGCCUGUGACGAAGCGUGAGUGACGGUAAUGGGUAAAGAAGCACCGGCUAACUACGUG